UGCUAUACAUGCAGUCGAGCGGACAGAAGGGAGCUUGCUCCCGGAUGUUAGCGGCGGACGGGUGAGUAACACGUGGGUAACCUGCCUGUAAGACUGGGAUAACUCCGGGAAACCGGAGCUAAUACCGGAUAGUUCCUUGAACCGCAUGGUUCAAGGAUGAAAGACGGUUUCGGCUGUCACUUACAGAUGGACCCGCGGCGCAUUAGCUAGUUGGUGGGGUAAUGGCUCACCAAGGCGACGAUGCGUAGCCGACCUGAGAGGGUGAUCGGCCACACUGGGACUGAGACACGGCCCAGACUCCUACGGGAGGCAGCAGUAGGGAAUCUUCCGCAAUGGACGAAAGUCUGACGGAGCAACGCCGCGUGAGUGAUGAAGGUUUUCGGAUCGUAAAGCUCUGUUGUUAGGGAAGAACAAGUGCGAGAGUAACUGCUCGCACCUUGACGGUACCUAACCAGAAAGCCACGGCUAACUACGUGCCAGCAGCCGCGGUAAUACGUAGGUGGCAAGCGUUGUCCGGAAUUAUUGGGCGUAAAGGGCUCGCAGGCGGUUUCUUAAGUCUGAUGUGAAAGCCCCCGGCUCAACCGGGGAGGGUCAUUGGAAACUGGGAAACUUGAGUGCAGAAGAGGAGAGUGGAAUUCCACGUGUAGCGGUGAAAUGCGUAGAGAUGUGGAGGAACACCAGUGGCGAAGGCGACUCUCUGGUCUGUAACUGACGCUGAGGAGCGAAAGCGUGGGGAGCGAACAGGAUUAGAUACCCUGGUAGUCCACGCCGUAAACGAUGAGUGCUAAGUGUUAGGGGGUUUCCGCCCCUUAGUGCUGCAGCUAACGCAUUAAGCACUCCGCCUGGGGGAGUACGGUCGCAAGACUGAAACUCAAAGGAAUUGACGGGGGCCCGCACAAGCGGUGGAGCAUGUGGUUUAAUUCGAAAGCAACGCGAAGAACCUUACCAGGUC
This 952-nucleotide ribosomal RNA is filed under the name Bacillus safensis. RNAcentral's name for it is "bacterial SSU rRNA". It matches the Rfam family "Bacterial small subunit ribosomal RNA", at positions 45 to 980 of the family's 1533-position model. Lineage: Bacteria; Bacillati; Bacillota; Bacilli; Caryophanales; Bacillaceae. The record is from RNAcentral.